Panthera uncia (snow leopard) is the source of this 2748-nucleotide long non-coding RNA. RefSeq lists it as uncharacterized. The transcript is spliced from 3 exons. Lineage: Eukaryota; Metazoa; Chordata; Mammalia; Carnivora; Felidae. The record is from RefSeq and is a predicted model, not a curated record.
GUGGAAGUCCUAGGGAGGUUCGGGGGUGUGUGGACGGAAGUGACCGUGUGUAGAGAGUGUCAUGCGUGAGAGGGUGUAGUGGGGCGGAGGAGGUGGAAGUCAUACUUACCUGGCAGGGGAGACACCAUGAUCAGGAAGGUGGUUUUCCCAGGGCGAGGCUUAUCCAUUGCACUCGGGAUGUGCUGACCCCUGCGAUUUCCCCAAAUGUGGGAAACUCGACUGCAUAAUUUGUGGUAGUGGGGGGCUGCGUUCGCGCUUUCCCCUGAUUCUUCAUGGUGGCAAAGACAGAGAAGAGAGUGCUGUUCUGAGGUGUGGUGUUUUGGCUUAAUCAAGCUGGUUUGGUGUGGUUUUUCCGCUUCUAUGUGUUGCUACGGUUCCUCGCGAGCUUUUUACCUUUUUGAGUUUUGCGUUUGUUUUAUUUCGUGGCUUUACGUAUUGGUGUUUUGGGGUACGGAAGUUCUGUACUCCUGCGUGUACAUUCAGGGCAAAGGUGUGUUUGUUACGAGUAUAACAUGUGUGAAGGCACCGUAGUGCACGCAGUUCGCAUGAACGGGUGUGAUUUUUCGUAGGUGCUUUUUUUUUUAGUUUACAGGCUGAAAGGAACUCUUUGUGGGUGGUUCGUGCUGCGUAGGCCAAGGCCGUGGUGCACACACUUCCAAAAGCUAGGGAGAAACUGCCUGUACCGUGGUCCGGCUUCGUUUCCGUAUGUAACAUGUUUAGGCUACGCGAGGAAACAGCUUUGAAUUUUACACGUUAUAUUCUCUGCAAAUCAGAACCGCAGUCAGACCUGAAUCUUGGCCGGAAGCCUUGUGAUCCAACCAGAAACCUACAAUAGACAGUCUUGGGAGUGAAAGGUGACCAGUUUCUCCUCUUGUGAGAGGCUGCAACGAGGCUGCCUUGCUGCGUCCUACUCUUUAAAUACCUAACCUUGCCUAAGACUUCAUUUUUUAAGCGUUAGUUUCCUUGUUUGGUGUCUGUCUUGCUUUUACGCCUUAAAGCCGUUACUAGCCAAUUCCAGAGACACCACCCACUCAUCCUUCCCACCCCAAAGCAGCUUUUUCUAUUUCUGGCUUUGGUUUUCCCUUCCUUCCAUCUCUUCUCUCAGGCUCUUUCUUGAUACCUUUUAUAGACACGAAAACACUAGCUCGCUCUCAGCCUCCAGUUUGCACCUGACACUCUUCAGUAGUGUGGCAAAUUAGGAAACUUCCUUAAUAAGAGGGCAGCAAGAAUUUUGUCCUGGCAAAUAGAAACUACUUGGCCAAAAACAAACGGCAGGGCCAUGGCGGGAAGAACCAUCAAGCCUCCCUGGUGGCUACCUCAGGAACAGCAUUCAGAAACUGCUGAGACCACUGGAGAGACUAGGAGCAGGAGUUGAGUUGGAGGUCAUGAUCUCGCAGUUCCUAAGUUCAAGGCCCCCACAUCCGGCUCUGAGCAGAGCAGAUGAGCAGAAUGGAUGUUCUUCCGGAUCCGAAGAUUCGGUGUCUCCCUCUGUCUCGGCCCCUCCCCUGCUUGCACUCAGUCUCUCUCUCUCUCUCAAAAGAAAUAAAUGUUAAAAGAAUUUUUGGAAAAAAAGAUGAGUGGCUAUAAUUGUGGUAUAUUCAUUCAAAAAAAUACUACUCUUCAAUGGAAUGGAACAGAUUCCUGAUAUGUGGCAACAAUAAAGAUGAACCUCAAAAACAGCAUGUUGAGUGAUAAAAAGAAUACAUACUCUGUGGUUCCAUCCAUGUCAGUGUCUAGAACAGGCAAAACUAAGUGAUAGUGACAAAACUAGAUCACUGAUUGCCUGGGACAGGAGGUUGUGUGGGGGAUUGGCUGCAAACGGGCACAAGAAGACAUUUUGGAGCAAUAGAAAUGUUCUUUGCUCUUGAACAGGGUAGUGGUUGCCUGGGUGCAUCCAACUUGUCAAAACUCAUCAAACUUGAAAUGGAUCCAUUGUAUUAUUUACAAAUUACACCUUAAGACAUUUGGUUUUAAAAACAAAUCAUUCCAAUUUUAGUGUCUGAAGUGCAAUUAAUUAGUAUUAGCCUUGGAAAGUUCUUUUAGAAAACUGUCACUCAUGUAGUGAACAAUCCCUCCAUAUUUGUUUUGUAUCUUUUUCUUCCGUGAAAUUCAUGCCCUAUUAAACUCAAUACUUUCAAAUAAAAAUAGGCUCUAUAAGAGCUCAGUUUUUUAUAAAAGAAUAUUUGUAAAUAUAUCCUCCCUAUAGGUUUAUCAAAUAUGACUCCAUUAGUAAUUACCUAAUGCAUACAAAAUUAUUUUUUAUUUUAAGCUGUUUCAAAAUUUUACAUACACAUAUUUUGUACGUCAUUUGCAUUUUACCAUUUGUGUAAUUUUACCAUGUAUAGCUUUUGCAAAAAAUUUAGAACAACUUAAAAAUAGAUUUGAGGGAAAAAUAUGUAAAGAUGUUAGAAGUAGUUAAUUCCAGCUGGUGGGAUAAGGAUGAAUGCUUAUCUUCUUCUGUUUGUUUGUUUGUUUCAUGCCCGAGGUGGGGCUUGAUCUCAAGACCCUGAGACCAAGAGUCGCAUGCUCUAUGGACUAAGCCAGCCAGGUGCCCCUAUUUUUCAUAGUUUUAAACCUAAAAAAUGAAUGUCCUGGAAGUGAAAGAACAGAAUAGAUAUGAAAGAGGUGUGGGGUAGGUGAGAGGAAAACAUAAAGGGGAGGGAAAACCUGGUUCUGGCAGGAAGUGUGUUUAAGUUGGAGAGUUUGAGGGAGCACUUGUGGGCAUAAGAAGGGUUUGCGGGAGGCAGU